This 460-nucleotide ribosomal RNA is filed under the name uncultured bacterium. RNAcentral's name for it is "partial 16S ribosomal RNA". It matches the Rfam family "Bacterial small subunit ribosomal RNA", at positions 338 to 795 of the family's 1533-position model. The record is from RNAcentral.
CCUACGGGCGGCAGCAGUGAGGAAUAUUGGUCAAUGGGCGCGAGCCUGAACCAGCCAAGUAGCGUGAAGGAUGACUGCCCUACGGGUUGUAAACUUCUUUUAUAAAGGAAUAAAGUGAGGCACGUGUGCCUUUUUGUAUGUACUUUAUGAAUAAGGAUCGGCUAACUCCGUGCCAUCAGCCGCGGUAAUACGGAGGAUCCGAGCGUUAUCCGGAUUUAUUGGGUUUAAAGGGAGCGUAGAUGGGUUGUUAAGUCAGUUGUGAAAGUUUUCGGCUCAACCGUAAAAUUGCAAUUGAUACUGGCAGUCUUGAGUACAGUUGAGGUAGGCGGAAUUCGUGGUGUAGCGGUGAAAUGCUUAGAUAUCACGAAGAACUCCGAUUGCGAAGGCAGCUUACUAAACUGCCACUGACAUUGAUGCUCGAAAGUGUGGGUAUCAAACAGGAUUAGAUACCCGAGUAGUC